RNAcentral lists this ribosomal RNA (253 nucleotides) under uncultured bacterium. RNAcentral describes it as "partial 16S ribosomal RNA". It matches the Rfam family "Bacterial small subunit ribosomal RNA", at positions 524 to 776 of the family's 1533-position model. The record is from RNAcentral.
UACGUAGGGUGCGAGCGUUAAUCGGAAUUACUGGGCGUAAAGCGUGCGCAGGCGGCUUUGCAAGACAGAUGUGAAAUCCCCGGGCUUAACCUGGGAACUGCAUUUGUGACUGCAUGGCUGGAGUGCGGCAGAGGGGAUGGAAUUCCGGCGUGUAGCAGUGAAAUGCGUAGAUAUGCGGAGGAACACCGAUGGCGAAGGCAAUCCCCUGGGCCUGCACUGACGCUCAUGCACGAAAGCGUGGGGAGCAAACAGG